This 253-nucleotide ribosomal RNA is filed under the name uncultured bacterium. Its description in RNAcentral is "partial 16S ribosomal RNA". It matches the Rfam family "Bacterial small subunit ribosomal RNA", at positions 524 to 776 of the family's 1533-position model. The record is from RNAcentral.
UACAGGGGGGGCAAGCGUUGUUCGGAAUUACAGGGCGUAAAGGGCCAGUAGGCGGCCAACUAAGUCCGACGUGAAAUCCCAAAGCUUAACUUUGGGACUGCGUCGGAUACUGGAUGGCUUGAAUUCGGGAGAGGGAUGCAGAAUUCCAGGUGUAGCGGUGAAAUGCGCAGAUAUCGGGAAGAACACCCGUGGCGAAGGCGGCUCUCUGGGACGGUACUGACGCUGAGACGCGAAAGCGUGGGGAGCGAACAGG